This 407-nucleotide ribosomal RNA is filed under the name uncultured bacterium. RNAcentral's name for it is "partial 16S ribosomal RNA". It matches the Rfam family "Bacterial small subunit ribosomal RNA", at positions 28 to 526 of the family's 1533-position model. The record is from RNAcentral.
GACGAACGCUGGCGGCGUGCCUAAUACAUGCAAGUAGAACGCAGUUGCGGACGGGUGAGUAACGCGUAGGUAACUGCCUCUUAGCGGGGGAUAACUAUUGGAAACGAUAGCUAAUACCGCAUACUGUGAAGUGGACCUGCGUUGUAUUAGCUAGUUGGUGAAGUAAAGGAUCACCAAGGCGACGAUACAUAGCCGACCUGGGAGGGGUGUUGGCCACACCGGGACUGGGACACCGCCCAGACCCCUUCGGGGAGCAGCCGUAAGGGAACUUUCGGAAUUGGGCGAAGUCUGACCGAGCAACGCCGGGUUAGGGAAUAAGGUUUUUGGAACGUAAAGCUCUGGUGCUUGAGAAGCGGUAACUAACCAGAAAGGGACGGCUAACUACGUGCCAGCAGCCGCGGUAAUAC